This is a small nucleolar RNA of Molossus molossus (Pallas's mastiff bat), 124 nucleotides long. RefSeq annotates it as small nucleolar RNA SNORA25. Lineage: Eukaryota; Metazoa; Chordata; Mammalia; Chiroptera; Molossidae. The transcript has a single exon. The record is from RefSeq and is a predicted model, not a curated record.
UGUUCAAAGAGGGCUUAUGGGGCUGUGAAGCCAGGAACUCUUAAUUCUAUAACCAAAGAUUGAGGUUCUCCAUAGGGUGUCAUAGUUCCUCAACAGUGCUAAGUAUUUUUGAGGAGAUAUAAUA